Molecule: ribosomal RNA, 253 nt
Filed under: uncultured bacterium
Lineage: Bacteria
Description: partial 16S ribosomal RNA
Rfam family: Bacterial small subunit ribosomal RNA
Source: RNAcentral
UACGUAGGGAGCAAGCGUUGUCCGGAAUCAUUGGGCGUAAAGCGCGCGUAGGCGGCCCGAUAAGUCCGCUGUAAAAGUCAACGGCUCAACUGUUGAAAGCCGGUGGAUACUGUCGGGCUAGAGUACGGAAGAGGCAAGUGGAAUUCCUGGUGUAGCGGUGGAAUGCGCAGAUAUCAGGAGGAACACCUAUAGCGAAGGCAGUUUGCUGGGACGUUACUGACGCUAAGGCGCGAAAGCGUGGGGAGCGAACAGG